Molecule: ribosomal RNA, 428 nt
Filed under: uncultured prokaryote
Description: bacterial SSU rRNA
Rfam family: Bacterial small subunit ribosomal RNA
Source: RNAcentral
UGAGGAAUAUUGCGCAAUGGGGGCAACCCUGACGCAGCGACGCCGCGUGAGUGAGGAAGGCCUUCGGGUCGUAAAGCUCUGUCAAAGGGAAGGAAGUGCAUGGUGGCUAAUACCUGCCAUGUUUGACGGUACCCUUAAAGGAAGCACCGGCUAACUCCGUGCCAGCAGCCGCGGUAAUACGGAGGGUGCAAGCGUUGUUCGGAAUCACUGGGCGUAAAGGGCGCGUAGGCGGUUUGAUAAGUCAGAUGUGAAAGCCCUCGGCUCAACCGGGGAACUGCGUCUGAUACUGCUCGACUUGAGUCCGGUAGGGGAUGGCGGAAUUCCCGGUGUAGCGGUGGAAUGCGUAGAUAUCGGGAGGAACACCGAUGGCGAAGGCGGCCAUCUGGGCCGGAACUGACGCUGAGGCGCGAGAGCUAGGGGAGCAAACA